CGGAGGUUUGUAGCUGCGGGGAUUCUCUAUUUCCGGCCAUGAAGUUCCGAGGCAAGAUUGUGGAUGUUGGAUGUUUAAAUCAUUUUACCCGUGUUGUGAACACUAUCUCCAAACUCACAAAGUCAUGUGUUCUAAGACUUACCAAUGACAAAUUGUACUUUAUUCUUUCUGACAAAAUGGCAAGUGGAGGUGUUGCAAUGUGGUGUCAGUUAUUUCAGGGUAAUUUUUUUGAUGAGUUUCAGAUUGAAGGUGUAUCAGCAGAGCAUAACGAAAUUUACCUGGAACUAAUGCCUGAAAACCUCUCAAGGUCCUUGAAAACAGCUCAGAAUGCCAAAACUGUGAAAAUUAAGCUGACAAUGAAACAUUGUCCAUGUAUCACCAUUGCUGUAGAACUGCCAUCCCUCUCCAGCCACAGUCGCAUUGUUACACAUGACAUUCCUGUCAGCAUCAUCCCCAGAAAACUUUGGAAUGAUUUUGAAGAACCCAGUGUUCCAGAUUUUGAUGUCAGUAUUUAUUUACCAGUAUUGAAGACCAUGAAGAGUGUUGUGGAAAGAAUGAAGAACCUUGCUAACCAUGUUGUAAUUGAAGCCAAUCAAAAUGGAGAAAUGAAUUUGAAAAUUGAUACUGAUUUGGUGUCAGUGACAACACAUUUUAAAGAACUCGGGAAUCCCCCUUGGGUUGAAGAAGGUACGCAACCUGAGUCCUUCCAAAUAAGAGACCCAGUGGACAUGGCUGAAGCAAGGAUAGACAUAAAAAGACUUCUCCAGUUUCUUGCUGGACAGCAGGUCAAUCCAAGCAAAGCCAUAUGCACAUUGGAAACGCUGCGUCAGAUGCUGACCAGACAGAAAACUACCCACUUACCUGGAUAUGUUUAAAAAGGCUAGACUUCCGAUCCACCAUGCAGAAUAACAACCUCAGCACAGAAAUCCACACAGAGAACAAUGAAGAGAAUCAGCACAGAAGAUACUUUUUACAGCACUAGCUGCUGUAUGAUAUCGUGAGUAAGAAAGUUAUUCAUUUUGUUUUGCUACAUGAGGAUGUGUCUCUUCAGUACUUUAUCCCAGCUCUUGCUUGAGAAACUUCACAUGAACAUUUAAUGGUAUCAUGGACGCCAACAGAAGUAUCAUCCUUGUUUGAAAUGAAUGAGCAUCCUGCCUGAUAAGUCCACCCUGUAACAAGACAUUUAGAAAUGGUGCCAACAUUUGGACUUGCCAUUGCAAUAACCUUUUAUUUUUUAGAUCUUUGAAAAGUUGUUGCUAGAUAAAUAAUGUCUAAUUUCAGACUCAAUACAGAUAGAAUGAUUUAAUAUUUUUUUUCCACUUUGCCUGUGAGGUUUAUCUGGUUCGCUACAGCUUUCAACAGCUACUGAAGAUGAAACUCCAUUUUUCAAGCUGUCUUUAAUCUGGUUUCAAAGUGUAAAACUUGUAUCUUUUAAAAAAAACUGCAAAGGCCUUCUGUAGAGUUAUUGCUUUGCUGCAUAUUCUUUAUCUUUCAUAUCUAAGGAAUCACUUGUGUUCUUGCAGGUUAAAAACAAUGUUCCAAUUUAUGCACAAUUGUUUACAAUCUCAUUGCCCAGUUAUGUCCUUGUUUGCUUUUUCUUGCAUUGUACCACUGUCAAUUUGUUUAUUUAUUGAGGUUACAAGACCAAAAGGUUGAGUCAUACUUAUUUUUAAACUGUUUCUAUAUUUUCAAUAAAAACUUGAAAAGGUA
RNA transcript from Carcharodon carcharias (great white shark), 1710 nucleotides. It is a transcript of the gene named HUS1 checkpoint clamp component, with no coding region annotated. The record is from RefSeq and is a predicted model, not a curated record. Lineage: Eukaryota; Metazoa; Chordata; Chondrichthyes; Lamniformes; Lamnidae. The transcript is spliced from 9 exons.